CUUAGUGGCGGACGGGUGAGUAACGCGUGGGUAACCUGCCUUAUACAGGGGGAUAACAGUCAGAAAUGGCUGCUAAUACCGCAUAAGCGCACAGAGCUGCAUGGCUCGGUGUGAAAAACUCCGGUGGUAUAAGAUGGACCCGCGUUGGAUUAGCUUGUUGGUGGGGUAACGGCCCACCAAGGCGACGAUCCAUAGCCGGCCUGAGAGGGUGAACGGCCACAUUGGGACCGAGACACGGCCCAGACUCCUACGGGAGGCAGCAUG
This 264-nucleotide ribosomal RNA is filed under the name uncultured bacterium. RNAcentral's name for it is "partial 16S ribosomal RNA". It matches the Rfam family "Bacterial small subunit ribosomal RNA", at positions 91 to 353 of the family's 1533-position model. The record is from RNAcentral.